Small nucleolar RNA from Phyllostomus discolor (pale spear-nosed bat), 131 nucleotides. RefSeq annotates it as small nucleolar RNA SNORA51. The transcript has a single exon. The record is from RefSeq and is a predicted model, not a curated record. Lineage: Eukaryota; Metazoa; Chordata; Mammalia; Chiroptera; Phyllostomidae.
GACCUCCCGGUGCUUACCACGGGCUGUGUUCUUACGCCGCCUCCACAGGAAGCGGAGGCAGAGUAAACCACCCCAUACACACCUCAGCCCAGUCCCGUUGCCUGGUCUGGACUGUAAAUGGCAGGACAUGA